CCCAAGAGAUCGGGAUAACACCUGGAAACAGAUGCUAAUACCGGAUAACAACAGAUGAUGCCUAUCAACUGUUUAAAAGAUGGUUCUGCUAUCACUCUUGGAUGGACCUGCGGUGCAUUAGCUAGUUGGUAGGGUAACGGCCUACCAAGGCGAUGAUGCAUAGCCGAGUUGAGAGACUGAUCGGCCACAUUGGGACUGAGACACGGCCCAAACUCCUACGGGAGGCAGCAGGG
Molecule: ribosomal RNA, 233 nt
Filed under: uncultured Lactobacillus sp.
Lineage: Bacteria; Bacillati; Bacillota; Bacilli; Lactobacillales; Lactobacillaceae
Description: partial 16S ribosomal RNA
Rfam family: Bacterial small subunit ribosomal RNA
Source: RNAcentral